GAUGAAGAACGUAGCAAAAUGCGAUAAGUAAUGUGAAUUGCAGAAUUCAGUGAAUCAUCGAAUCUUUGAACGCACAUUGCGCCCGCCAGUAUUCUGGCGGGCAUGCCUGUUCGAGCGUCAUUUCAACCCUCAAGCACAGCUUGGUGUUGGGACUCGCGUUAAUUCGCGUUCCUCAAAUUGAUUGGCGGUCACGUCGAGCUUCCAUAGCGUAGUAGUAAAAACCUCGUUACUGGUAAUCGUCGCGGCCACGCCGUUAAACCCCAACUUCUGAAUGUUGACCUCGGAUCAGGUAGGAAUACCCGCUGAACUUAAGCAUAUCAAUAAGCGGAGGA
RNAcentral lists this unclassified non-coding RNA (332 nucleotides) under soil metagenome. RNAcentral describes it as "partial contains 5.8S ribosomal RNA, internal transcribed spacer 2, and large subunit ribosomal RNA". The stretch from base 1 to 120 matches the Rfam family "5.8S ribosomal RNA", at positions 35 to 154 of the family's 154-position model. The record is from RNAcentral.